CGUAGGAGGCAAGCGUUAUCCGGAUUCACUGGGCGUAAAGCGCGUGCAGGCGGUGCGGUAAGUUGGGCGUGAAAUCUCCCGGCUCAACUGGGAUAGGUCGUCCAAUACUACCGUACUUGAGAGCAGAAGAGGAAAAUGGAAUUCCCGGUGUAGUGGUGAAAUGCGUAGAUAUCGGGAGGAACACCAGUGGCGAAGGCGAUUUUCUGGUCUGUUUCUGACGCUCAGACGCGACAGCUAGGGUAGUAAACGGGAUUAGAGACCCCGGUAAUCCUAGCCGUAAACGAUGUGAACUUGGCGUUGGUGGGUUAAACUCCAUCAGUGCCGUAGCAAACGCGAUAAGUUCACCGCCUGGGGACUACGGCCGCAAGGUUA
RNAcentral lists this ribosomal RNA (372 nucleotides) under uncultured organism. RNAcentral's name for it is "bacterial SSU rRNA". It matches the Rfam family "Bacterial small subunit ribosomal RNA", at positions 526 to 896 of the family's 1533-position model. The record is from RNAcentral.